This is a long non-coding RNA of Juglans regia (Persian walnut), 1194 nucleotides long. RefSeq lists it as uncharacterized. The record is from RefSeq and is a predicted model, not a curated record. Lineage: Eukaryota; Viridiplantae; Streptophyta; Magnoliopsida; Fagales; Juglandaceae. The transcript is spliced from 4 exons.
AGGAAAGAAAAAAACAAUCUCUUCCUACAGAUGGACAAGGCGGUUGUCCCAAUGCAAUGGAAAGAAGCUUCAAAAAGUUAAAAAGACAGAAAACAGAACGGAGUGCUGGAACUGAGAAUGGAAACUCUAGCAAAAGCGAAAUGGCAACACAGCAGACGCAUGACUCGCAGUGUUCACCCCCAGGAGAGGCAAGCCUAGAAGACUGCUUGGUUAGUUGGAUGAGAAAGGAUGAGAACCAUUUUUUUCAUUACGAAAAAUUUAAAGAUGGUGAUUCAACUGCAGACUGUGAUGAUACAGACGAUAGUGAUGAUGAAGAUGAUGAUUAUCAUGAAGAGGAUGAUAUUAAUAGUGGCCAUAAAGUUGGGAAUAUUGAUGAGACUUCAAUAACUGCUAUUGAACAGAAAGAAUAUCCUCAUGAAGGUGGUGAUGAGGGAUUACUUAUACCAUAUUUGGAAAGUUCCUCUGGUGUUCAGCUUGAGCCAACAUUUUCAAUUGUGAGCCAAGAAACGAAUGAAAACCAAAAUGAAAAUGGUAUGGCACCUGAUACACAGCCAGGUUAUGAUAAGAGGGAACUCAAAAGACUUGACAGGAAAGAGACCCAAAAUACUGGAGGACAUAAAGAACUAUCUGAGUUCCUUAGUUUUGAUAAAGAGGUCUGUCAUAGCCUAUCAUUACAAAAAAAAAAAAAAAACCUCCAAAGGUGGCUUUCUGUCCAAAAGAAGUGAAGAAAAUUAUUGAGUCAAAUAUCCUGUUACAGAAAAAUGCUCAGUCUCACACCAUAAGAAAAAUUAUAGUUUUUGCAUCUCUCUGUAUAAGGCAUGGAUGUGAAGAUAUGUAUGAGUUGGACUUCAAUCAUUUUAGCAUUCUGAGGAAGGGAGAACCAUAUGUAUCUCCCACGAAUCCUGGGUUGAAUUGUUCCAGAUAUGUUAGGCAGCGGAUGGGAAGAAACAAGCUGAAGUCUUUUGGGCCACUGAUGUGUCGAAUAGCAAUGCUAGUUCAUGUUUGCACUGGAAGCUUCUUCUUUAAGGCCUUAGGCAUCACACUUCUGUUCAUGGCUGGUUUUCCCGAGGACCUGGUUCAAAGGGAAACAAAAUACCGGAACUUGGACUUACUCCAAAAAUAUUAUAGGGAAACUAUGUCAAGAUUUCUAGCUCCAUUCAUGAAGAUUGAGGACUUCAGUCAUUUUACAGCCCA